This 253-nucleotide ribosomal RNA is filed under the name uncultured bacterium. RNAcentral's name for it is "partial 16S ribosomal RNA". It matches the Rfam family "Bacterial small subunit ribosomal RNA", at positions 524 to 776 of the family's 1533-position model. The record is from RNAcentral.
GACAGAGGGUGCAAACGUUGUUCGGAAUUACUGGGCGUAAAGCGUGUGUAGGCGGCUUUGCAAGUCGGAUGUGAAAGCCCCGGGCUCAACCCGGGAAGUGCACUCGAUACUGCAGGGCUUGAGUGUCGGAGAGGUUGUUGGAAUUCUCGGUGUAGAGGUGAAAUUCGUAGAUAUCGGGAGGAACACCGGUGGCGAAGGCGGCGACCUGGGUAGAUACUGACGCUGAGGUGCGAAAGCGUGGGGAGCAAACAGG